CCUAUAAGACUGGGAUAACUUCGGGAAACCGGAGCUAAUACCGGAUAACAUUUGGAACCGCAUGGUUCUAAAGUGAAAGAUGGUUUUGCUAUCACUUAUAGAUGGACCCGCGCCGUAUUAGCUAGUUGGUAAGGUAACGGCUUACCAAGGCGACGAUACGUAGCCGACCUGAGAGGGUGAUCGGCCACACUGGAACUGAGACACGGUCCAGACUCCUACGGGAGGCAGCAGUAGGGAAUCUUCCGCAAUGGGCGAAAGCCUGACGGAGCAACGCCGCGUGAGUGAUGAAGGGUUUCGGCUCGUAAAACUCUGCUAUUAGGGAAGAACAAAUGUGUAAGUAACUAUGCACAUCUUGACGGUACCUAAUCAGAAAGCCACGGCUAACUACGUGCCAGCAGCCGCGGUAAUACGUAGGUGGCAAGCGUUAUCCGGAAUUAUUGGGCGUAAAGCGCGCGUAGGCGGUUUCUUAAGUCUGAUGUGAAAGCCCACGGCUCGACCGUGGAGGGUCAUUGGAAACUGGGAAACUUGAGUGCAGAAGAGGAAAGUGGAAUUCCAUGUGUAGCGGUGAAAUGCGCAGAGAUAUGGAGGAACACCAGUGGCGAAGGCGACUUUCUGGUCUGUAACUGACGCUGAUGUGCGAAAGCGUGGGGAUCAAACAGGAUUAGAUACCCUGGUAGUCCACGCCGUAAACGAUGAGUGCUAAGUGUUAGGGGGGUUUCCGCCCCUUAGUGCUGCAGCUAACGCAUUAAGCACUCCGCCUGGGGAGUACGACCGCAAGGUUGAAACUCAAA
RNAcentral lists this ribosomal RNA (791 nucleotides) under uncultured Staphylococcus sp. Its description in RNAcentral is "bacterial SSU rRNA". It matches the Rfam family "Bacterial small subunit ribosomal RNA", at positions 129 to 905 of the family's 1533-position model. The record is from RNAcentral. Lineage: Bacteria; Bacillati; Bacillota; Bacilli; Caryophanales; Staphylococcaceae.